CUGCUGCUGCAGAAAUGAAUAAUUGCCCUAAAGAUCAUCUGGCCUGCAAAACUGAGUAUGUUUACUAGCUGGCUCUUCACAGAAAAAGUGUGAGGACUCUGUCUGCCUUAGGACCACCACUCCAAGGAGGAUGGCAGUUAGGAUGGCCCUGCUUCGUUCGGGCCCUAUCAUGGGAACUCAGGGCAGAGCGAUGAACACGGACAGGGAGGAGUGCCUGUUCUCAGGGGCUGGCCAUCCUACUGGCGGGAGCAGGAGGAAACACCUAAGAGCACUGGAUAGCAUGUUCCUGACAAUUCAGAGUAGAGACCAGUAAAUCCAGCUAUUACCUGGCAGGCAUAGAGGGUUCCAGAACAUUCUACAUGCUCUCAGUCGGAAGGUGCUCAGUGAUGGUGUGGGGACACAUGUGGCGCCAUUACUGUAGAGGCCAGUGGGGAGCCAGAUGAAGAGAACCCGUGUCAAUCUCUGUCAUCAUAUUGGAUAGAGGGGCAUAGGUGGGCAUUACAACCCUGGAACCCUGAGCAUUUACCCAAUGGGAUCAUGUUAACCAAGAAGCGACACUUUUGAUGGACAGAGACUGCACGUCCACAAAUUAGGAGAGUUUAAGCUACUGCUCACCACCACCAUCCAUUGGAAUGGGGCCUUUAGGCGGAGAUGAGGACACUUAUGGGACUUCUUGACCAUCACUGACACUCUGGGUAAGAUACUCCUUUGUUGUGAGGGGUUGUUCUGGGCAUUAUAAUCUGUUUAGCUGCAUCCAUGCCCUCCAGCCACUAGAUGCCAGGGGUAUACAGACACACAUACCUUAGUCUUGG
Long non-coding RNA from Heterocephalus glaber (naked mole-rat), 812 nucleotides. The record is from Ensembl. Lineage: Eukaryota; Metazoa; Chordata; Mammalia; Rodentia; Bathyergidae.